RNAcentral lists this ribosomal RNA (253 nucleotides) under uncultured bacterium. Its description in RNAcentral is "partial 16S ribosomal RNA". It matches the Rfam family "Bacterial small subunit ribosomal RNA", at positions 524 to 776 of the family's 1533-position model. The record is from RNAcentral.
UACGGAGGGUGCGAGCGUUAUCCGGAUUCACUGGGUUUAAAGGGUGCGUAGGUGGGCAGGUAAGUCCGUGGUGAAAUCUCUGAGCUUAACUCAGAAACUGCCGUGGAUACUAUUUGUCUUGAAUGUUGUGGAGGUGAGCGGAAUAUGUCAUGUAGCGGUGAAAUGCUUAGAUAUGACAUAGAACACCAAUUGCGAAGGCAGCUCACUACACAAUUAUUGACGCUGAGGCACGAAAGCGUGGGGAUCAAACAGG